Erigeron canadensis is the source of this 477-nucleotide long non-coding RNA. RefSeq lists it as uncharacterized. The transcript has 3 exons. NCBI's taxonomy places the organism in Eukaryota, Viridiplantae, Streptophyta, Magnoliopsida, Asterales, Asteraceae. The record is from RefSeq and is a predicted model, not a curated record.
CAUCAUCACCAUCAGGUGGUUUUCUAGGGUUCCUUCAUCCGCGAUGCAUCAUCACUAUCAGGUUCUCAAUCCGCUUAUUCUGACGGCACUGGAACCGCAAAUACUACUGUACCUAUUGCCAAUGCAGUUGCUCCAUCCAAUGAGGUUUUCAACAAAAUGUCAUUGAUGCGGAAAUAGCGGUUGGGCAGCAUGCCGGUAAAAGAGUUUUCUUACCAAGAAUACCCCUAUGUCCUUCUGAAAAUGAUAUGUACCCCUUUAAGUUGAAGAGAAAACAGUUCCCGAUUUGACUUAGCUUCGCGAUGACAAUAAACAGAGCCCAAGGCCAGACAGUUCCACACGUUGGUGUCUAUCUACCUGAAUCGGUAUUUUCACACGGACAACUAUACGUGGCUUUGUCUCGAGGGAUAUCACGCGAAAGGGUAAAGGUUUUGGUUAGGCCUACCCAAAAUUUCCAUCAACCCGGUGUAUACACCGCAA